Molecule: ribosomal RNA, 1017 nt
Filed under: Psychrobacter sp. BTN17
Lineage: Bacteria; Pseudomonadati; Pseudomonadota; Gammaproteobacteria; Moraxellales; Moraxellaceae
Description: bacterial SSU rRNA
Rfam family: Bacterial small subunit ribosomal RNA
Source: RNAcentral
AGUCGAGCGGUAACAUUUCUAGCUUGCUAGAAGAUGACGAGCGGCGGACGGGUGAGUAAUACUUAGGAAUCUACCUAGUAGUGGGGGAUAGCUCGGGGAAACUCGAAUUAAUACCGCAUACGACCUACGGGAGAAAGGGGGCAGUUUACUGCUCUCGCUAUUAGAUGAGCCUAAGUCGGAUUAGCUAGAUGGUGGGGUAAAGGCCUACCAUGGCGACGAUCUGUAGCUGGUCUGAGAGGAUGAUCAGCCACACCGGAACUGAGACACGGUCCGGACUCCUACGGGAGGCAGCAGUGGGGAAUAUUGGACAAUGGGGGCAACCCUGAUCCAGCCAUGCCGCGUGUGUGAAGAAGGCCUUUUGGUUGUAAAGCACUUUAAGCAGUGAAGAAGACUCCGUGGUUAAUACCCACGGACGAUGACAUUAGCUGCAGAAUAAGCACCGGCUAACUCUGUGCCAGCAGCCGCGGUAAUACAGAGGGUGCAAGCGUUAAUCGGAAUUACUGGGCGUAAAGCGAGCGUAGGUGGCUUGAUAAGUCAGAUGUGAAAUCCCCGGGCUUAACCUGGGAACUGCAUCUGAUACUGUUAGGCUAGAGUAGGUGAGAGGAAGGUAGAAUUCCAGGUGUAGCGGUGAAAUGCGUAGAGAUCUGGAGGAAUACCGAUGGCGAAGGCAGCCUUCUGGCAUCAUACUGACACUGAGGCUCGAAAGCGUGGGUAGCAAACAGGAUUAGAUACCCUGGUAGUCCACGCCGUAAACGAUGUCUACUAGUCGUUGGGUCCCUUGAGGACUUAGUGACGCAGCUAACGCAAUAAGUAGACCGCCUGGGGAGUACGGCCGCAAGGUUAAAACUCAAAUGAAUUGACGGGGGCCCGCACAAGCGGUGGAGCAUGUGGUUUAAUUCGAUGCAACGCGAAGAACCUUACCUGGUCUUGACAUAUCUAGAAUCCUGCAGAGAUGCGGGAGUGCCUUUCGGAAUUAGAAUACAGGUGCUGCAUGGCUGUCGUCAGCUCGUGUCGUGA